CCAGUCGAACGACCCGGACUAUGGCGGGGAGUGGCGCACUGCUCAGUAACACGUAGCUAACCUAACCUCAAGACGGAAAUAACCCCGGGAAACUGGGGUCAAUGUCCGAUAGAUGUGAAUUCCUGGAAUGGUGUCACAUCCAAACGUCAACACACCAUGUUGUGCGAACGCUUGAGGAUGGGGCUGCGGCCGAUCAGGCUGUUGGUGGGGUAAUGGCCCACCAAACCUUUGACCGGUAUGGGCCAUGAGAGUGGUAGCCCAGAGAUGGACACUGAGACAAGGGUCCAGGCCCUACGGGGCGCAGCCGGUACGAAACCUCCACAAUGCACGCAAGUGCGAUGGGGUUAUCUCGAGUGCUAUCUGAAAAAGGUAGCUUUUCCAUGGUCUAAAUAGCCGUGGGAAUAAGGGGGGGGCAAGACUGGUGUCAGCCGCCGCGGUAACACCAGCCCCCCGAGUGGUAGGGAUGUUUAUUUGGCCUAAAGCGUCCGUAGCCGGCUAAGUAAAUUUCUCGUUAAAUCCAACGUCCUAAGCGUUGGGCUGCGAGAAAGACUGCUUAGCUAGAGGGUGGGAGAGGUCAGCGGUAUUCCUGGGGUAGGGGCGAAAUCCAUUGAACCCAGGAGGACCACCAGUGGCGAAGGCUGCUGACUAGAACACGCCUGACGGUGAGGGACGAAAGCUGGGGUAGCGAAUCGGAUUAGAUACCCGAGUAGUCCCAGCCGUAAACGAUGCAGACUAGGUGUUGGGUUGGCCACGCGCCGACUCAGUGCCACAGGGAAGCCAUUAAGUCUGCCGCCUGGGAAGUACGGCCGCAAGGCUGAAACUUAAAGGAAUUGGCGGGGGAGCACCACCAGGCGUGAAGCCUGCGGUUUAAUUGGAGUCAACGCCGGGAACCUUACCGGGAGCGACAGCAGAGUGAAGGCCAGGCUAAAGGUCUUGCCAGACGAGCUGAGAGGAGGUGCAUGGCCGUCGCCAGUUCGUGCCGUGAGGUGUCCUCUUAAGUGAGGUAACGAACGAGACCCGCGCCGCAUGUUGCUAACAAGUCCUAAAGGGAUGUUGAGCACUCUUGCGGGACCGCAGCCGACAAGGCUGAGGAAGGUGCGGGCAACGGCAGGUCAGUAUGCCCCGAAUCUCCCGGGCCACACGCGGGCUGCAAUGGUAGAGACAGAGGGCUGCAACCCCGAAAGGGGAAGCCAAUCCCU
RNAcentral lists this ribosomal RNA (1199 nucleotides) under metagenome. RNAcentral describes it as "bacterial SSU rRNA". It matches the Rfam family "Archaeal small subunit ribosomal RNA", at positions 54 to 1232 of the family's 1478-position model. The record is from RNAcentral.